GCCGCAGUGGUGAAAUUGGUAUACACGCAGUCUUCAGAAGGCUGUCCGCCUUAGGCGGAUGAGAGUUCGAGUCUCUCCUGCGGCACCA
Molecule: transfer RNA, 88 nt
Filed under: candidate division WWE3 bacterium CG_4_10_14_0_2_um_filter_42_7
Lineage: Bacteria; candidate division WWE3
Description: tRNA-Leu
Rfam family: tRNA
About the family: Transfer RNA (tRNA) molecules are approximately 80 nucleotides in length. Their secondary structure includes four short double-helical elements and three loops (D, anti-codon, and T loops).
Source: RNAcentral